CUAACUAUAUGUAUAAUAAUUACACGAGGCUAUUAUAUGGCAAUCACAAAAUUGGUUCUCCUUUGGUGUAGAGAGAUACAAUACAAGCUGCUUCAAACUUCGCUCGUAGGAACCAUUUACCACCUCGUUUGCAAGAUCAGAUGCUUGCACAUUUAUGCUUGAAGUACCGAACAGACUCUGAGGGGCUUCAACAGCAAGAGACUCUUGAUGCACUCCCAAAAGCAAUUAGAUCUAGUAUAUCACACUUCCUUUUCUACUCUCUUAUGGAUAAAGUCUACCUCUUUCGCGGAGUAUCCAAUGACUUGCUUUUCCAGCUGGUAAAAACUAUUUAAAAAGCAUAUUCCUAUCCCAUUUAAAAGAUUCAUUCAUUCAUCUCGUUUCUUACAUGUAGGUCUCAGAAAUGAAAGCAGAGUACUUCCCACCAAAAGAAGAUGUAAUCUUGCAGAACGAAGCGCCAACAGACUUCUACAUCCUUGUGAACGGUACUGCGGUAAUAAUCUUUUACAAAACUCUCUACGGUUUGUUGAAUAGAAAUAUAUAUUAUAAGAAUGCAAGAUGAUUUUACCUCUUUGCACACUUUUGUUAUGGUACAGGACUUGGUUGUUCAAGAUGGUGGAACAGAAAAUGUAAGUCAGCAUUUUAUUUUUAUUACUUUUUUUUAUUUAUAAAGUGUGGAGUUGAGAAUUCAUAUAGAGUGGUUAUGUGGAGAAUUUCAGGCUGUGAACCUAAGAAUUUCUCACAAAUAAAUAUGUUUGAAAGAUUUCAAUAAAUAACACAAUAACAUUUUACUUUUUCGUAAAUUAUAAUAUAUCGUACAGAUGUUACUUUAUGUCAAAAUGUAUCUAUUUGCUUAACUUUGUCAAGUUGCACAGCUUUUUGGAUUAUUUUGUCUUUAUUAUUUUUUAUUGUAUCUCUUAGAAAAGAGAUUAUAGUAUAAUCAUUUUUUGUUAUUUGAUUUACCAGACAAUUGUAGCUCCUUUUUAUUCAAUAUUUAGAAUAUUCAAAUCCUAGUUCCCUAUCGUUCUCAUUUGACAGUCAACAAACAAGAUCUUAUAAAUGCGAAGGCAAAUGUAGAAAAUUCAAAGCGUUCUUUAUCACAUUAGUUGAUUGGAUAAUUGGUUAAAGCCCCUUUGCUUUUGACCAUAACAUGUAAAUGAACACGUGAAUGUGGGGAAAAAUAAUAAAUGAUAUGUUGAAUGUGCAGAAUUCAAUGCAUUGAUUUCAACAACGGAUGCAAACUGAGCAAAUAAGAUACGUAAUAAAAAGUAGAAAUACUUAUAAUUCAUGUUUCAUAUUCAUAGCAUCAUCAAACAAUAACACUUUGAGGCUACCAAGUACCAAACAGUAACAAAAACUAUGGAAUGGUGAUUAUUGAUUAAUACUGAAAAUGGACGUGUUGAAUGCAGGAUAUGGGAGGCUUUCCUAGUGGUUCUUGUGGUUUAUACUGCAUGGGUUUCCCCUUUUGAGUUUGGGUUCUUGAGAAAGCCAAGGCCACCACUUUCUAUCACCGAUAACAUUGUGAAUGGAUUCUUUGCGAUAGAUAUCAUCAUGACGUUCUUUGUUGGUUACCUUGAUAAAUCAACUUACCUCCUUGUCGAUGAUCGUAAAAUGAUUGCCUUCAAGUACUUGCGUUCUUGGUUCGUCCUCGACCUCAUAUCAACUAUCCCCUCAGAGGUGGCUAUGAAAAUCUCAUCCCAGUCUUACGGAUUAUUUAACAUGCUUCGGCUCUGGCGUGUUCGCAGAGUCGGUGCCUUGUUUGCCAGGUAAUAUGUCAAUAACCUUUUAUUAUUUCCUUCUAUUACCAGAAUCUUGACAUUGUCUUUAUAAACAGGCUUGAAAAAGAUCGCAACUUCAACUAUUUCUGGGUCCGGUGUGCAAAACUCGUUUGUGUAAGAUCAUCAAAACAUAAAAAAAAUGUUUCUUUACUUAAGCCACAUUCCUCUCAAGUACUCAUUAAUUGGAUAAUCUUGCAGGUCACGAUUUUUGCGGUCCAUUGUGCUGCAUGUUUCUAUUACCUUAUCGCCGCACGGCACCAUGACCCAGCAAAGACCUGGAUUGGAGCAUCUAACGCAAACUUCCAUGACGAAAGCUUGUGGAUGCGAUAUGUGACUUCCAUGUACUGGUCCAUCACUACUCUAACCACUGUUGGUUAUGGUGAUUUGCAUCCAGUGAACACAAAGGAAAUGAUAUUUGACAUUUUCUAUAUGCUCUUCAACCUCGGGUUAACAGCAUACUUGAUUGGUAACAUGACCAAUUUGGUAGUCCAUGGAACAAGUCGGACAAGAAACUUUGUAAGUUAUCAUUUUCAUCACCUAACUAUAUGUAUAAUAAUUACACGAGGCUAUUAUAUGGCAAUCACAAAAUUGGUUCUCCUUUGGUGUAGAGAGAUACAAUACAAGCUGCUUCAAACUUCGCUCGUAGGAACCAUUUACCACCUCGUUUGCAAGAUCAGAUGCUUGCACAUUUAUGCUUGAAGUACCGAACAGACUCUGAGGGGCUUCAACAGCAAGAGACUCUUGAUGCACUCCCAAAAGCAAUUAGAUCUAGUAUAUCACACUUCCUUUUCUACUCUCUUAUGGAUA
Molecule: long non-coding RNA, 2582 nt
Filed under: Brassica napus (rape)
Lineage: Eukaryota; Viridiplantae; Streptophyta; Magnoliopsida; Brassicales; Brassicaceae
Description: long non-coding RNA (BNAP_LNC003632)
Source: RNAcentral